RNAcentral lists this long non-coding RNA (1722 nucleotides) under Homo sapiens (human). Lineage: Eukaryota; Metazoa; Chordata; Mammalia; Primates; Hominidae. The record is from RNAcentral.
UGUUGAGGAAAUUUCUGCAGUUUUAAGCAGUCGUAUUUGUGAUUGAAGCUGAGUACAUUUUGCUGGUGUAUUUUUAGGUAAAAUGCUUUUUGUUCAUUUCUGGUGGUGGGAGGGGACUGAAGCCUUUAGUCUUUUCCAGAUGCAACCUUAAAAUCAGUGACAAGAAACAUUCCAAACAAGCAACAGUCUUCAAGAAAUUAAACUGGCAAGUGGAAAUGUUUAAACAGUUCAGUGAUCUUUAGUGCAUUGUUUAUGUGUGGGUUUCUCUCUCCCCUCCCUUGGUCUUAAUUCUUACAUGCAGGAACACUCAGCAGACACACGUAUGCGAAGGGCCAGAGAAGCCAGACCCAGUAAGAAAAAAUAGCCUAUUUACUUUAAAUAAACCAAACAUUCCAUUUUAAAUGUGGGGAUUGGGAACCACUAGUUCUUUCAGAUGGUAUUCUUCAGACUAUAGAAGGAGCUUCCAGUUGAAUUCACCAGUGGACAAAAUGAGGAAAACAGGUGAACAAGCUUUUUCUGUAUUUACAUACAAAGUCAGAUCAGUUAUGGGACAAUAGUAUUGAAUAGAUUUCAGCUUUAUGCUGGAGUAACUGGCAUGUGAGCAAACUGUGUUGGCGUGGGGGUGGAGGGGUGAGGUGGGCGCUAAGCCUUUUUUUAAGAUUUUUCAGGUACCCCUCACUAAAGGCACCGAAGGCUUAAAGUAGGACAACCAUGGAGCCUUCCUGUGGCAGGAGAGACAACAAAGCGCUAUUAUCCUAAGCUUUUCCAGAAGCCUGUUAAAAGCAAGGUCUCCCCACAAGCAACUUCUCUGCCACAUCGCCACCCCGUGCCUUUUGAUCUAGCACAGACCCUUCACCCCUCACCUCGAUGCAGCCAGUAGCUUGGAUCCUUGUGGGCAUGAUCCAUAAUCGGUUUCAAGGUAACGAUGGUGUCGAGGUCUUUGGUGGGUUGAACUAUGUUAGAAAAGGCCAUUAAUUUGCCUGCAAAUUGUUAACAGAAGGGUAUUAAAACCACAGCUAAGUAGCUCUAUUAUAAUACUUAUCCAGUGACUAAAACCAACUUAAACCAGUAAGUGGAGAAAUAACAUGUUCAAGAACUGUAAUGCUGGGUGGGAACAUGUAACUUGUAGACUGGAGAAGAUAGGCAUUUGAGUGGCUGAGAGGGCUUUUGGGUGGGAAUGCAAAAAUUCUCUGCUAAGACUUUUUCAGGUGAACAUAACAGACUUGGCCAAGCUAGCAUCUUAGCGGAAGCUGAUCUCCAAUGCUCUUCAGUAGGGUCAUGAAGGUUUUUCUUUUCCUGAGAAAACAACACGUAUUGUUUUCUCAGGUUUUGCUUUUUGGCCUUUUUCUAGCUUAAAAAAAAAAAAAGCAAAAGAUGCUGGUGGUUGGCACUCCUGGUUUCCAGGACGGGGUUCAAAUCCCUGCGGCGUCUUUGCUUUGACUACUAAUCUGUCUUCAGGACUCUUUCUGUAUUUCUCCUUUUCUCUGCAGGUGCUAGUUCUUGGAGUUUUGGGGAGGUGGGAGGUAACAGCACAAUAUCUUUGAACUAUAUACAUCCUUGAUGUAUAAUUUGUCAGGAGCUUGACUUGAUUGUAUAUUCAUAUUUACACGAGAACCUAAUAUAACUGCCUUGUCUUUUUCAGGUAAUAGCCUGCAGCUGGUGUUUUGAGAAGCCCUACUGCUGAAAACUUAACAAUUUUGUGUAAUAAAAAUGGAGAAGCUC